UUGUCAACCAUAUUAGCUCCCUUCAAAGGGAAUUAUUGUACUUUUUUUCCGCUCUCUCUUCCUCUUUACAUGACUGACUCCUGAGUUAUUGGAGGGGAAUGUCUUUUAGCUGGCUUUCCUCACUCCAUGAGUCAGUAGCAUGCAGUCGACCGCGUUUUCGUAGACGUUGUGUGUUAGCCAUAAUCCGAUGCGUUCAUCACAUGUAGACGCAUAACAUGUGAGGUAAGCACGUUCUCUUGGGUCCGCUCACCUCUUUACAUGACUGGAUGGCGAUGUACUCGGCGAAGAUCUUCUUGGCCUUGGACGCCAUCUUGGACUGGGACUUGACCUUCUUGUAGUCCUCGCAGGCCAACCAGAACUCCAGGUUCUCCUCGCUGAACUCGGUGCGCAGGAACGCUCGGAACGCUGCCAGGCCAUCUGAGAGGAGAGGAGGAGGAGGAAACGGGAGACUGUCAGACUA
Molecule: long non-coding RNA, 460 nt
Organism: Gadus macrocephalus (Pacific cod)
Lineage: Eukaryota; Metazoa; Chordata; Actinopteri; Gadiformes; Gadidae
Exons: 2
Source: RefSeq, a predicted model, not a curated record